GAUGAAGAACGCAGCGAAAUGCGAUAAGUAAUGUGAAUUGCAGAAUUCAGUGAAUCAUCGAAUCUUGAACGCACAUUGCGCCCGUCAGUAUUCUGGCGGGCAUGCCUGUUCGAGCGUCAUUACGCCCCUCAAGUCCCCUGUGGACUUGGUGUUGGGGAUCGGCGAGGCUGGUUUUCCAGCACAGCCGUCCCUUAAAUUAAUUGGCGGUCUCGCCGUGGCCCUCCUCUGCGCAGUAGUAAAACACUCGCAACAGGAGCCCGGCGCGGUCCACUGCCGUAAAACCCCCCAACUUUUUAUAGUUGACCUCGAAUCAGGUAGGACUACCCGCUGAACUUAAGCAUAUCAAUAAGCGGAGGA
Molecule: unclassified non-coding RNA, 357 nt
Filed under: soil metagenome
Description: partial contains 5.8S ribosomal RNA, internal transcribed spacer 2, and large subunit ribosomal RNA
Rfam family: 5.8S ribosomal RNA (bases 1-119)
Source: RNAcentral